Molecule: ribosomal RNA, 488 nt
Filed under: Staphylococcus aureus
Lineage: Bacteria; Bacillati; Bacillota; Bacilli; Caryophanales; Staphylococcaceae
Description: partial 23S ribosomal RNA
Rfam family: Bacterial large subunit ribosomal RNA
Source: RNAcentral
GAGAAUGCCGGUGUGAGUAGCGAAAGACGGGUGAGAAUCCCGUCCACCGAUUGACUAAGGUUUCCAGAGGAAGGCUCGUCCGCUCUGGGUUAGUCGGGUCCUAAGCUGAGGCCGACAGGCGUAGGCGAUGGAUAACAGGUUGAUAUUCCUGUACCACCUAUAAUCGUUUUAAUCGAUGGGGGGACGCAGUAGGAUAGGCGAAGCGUGCGAUUGGAUUGCACGUCUAAGCAGUAAGGCUGAGUAUUAGGCAAAUCCGGUACUCGUUAAGGCUGAGCUGUGAUGGGGAGAAGACAUUGUGUCUUCGAGUCGUUGAUUUCACACUGCCGAGAAAAGCCUCUAGAUAGAAAAUAGGUGCCCGUACCGCAAACCGACACAGGUAGUCAAGAUGAGAAUUCUAAGGUGAGCGAGCGAACUCUCGUUAAGGAACUCGGCAAAAUGACCCCGUAACUUCGGGAGAAGGGGUGCUCUUUAGGGUUAACGCCCAGAAG